Long non-coding RNA from Microplitis demolitor, 587 nucleotides. RefSeq lists it as uncharacterized. The transcript is spliced from 4 exons. Lineage: Eukaryota; Metazoa; Arthropoda; Insecta; Hymenoptera; Braconidae. The record is from RefSeq and is a predicted model, not a curated record.
CUACUAGCAGCAGCACCAUGCAGUAAACGAACUCGGUAUGUAGGAAUACAGGAAUAAAGUAUCGUGAAACUCGAUCACUGGUUCUCCGCACGUUCGUCAAUGAGUCGCGGCUAUUAUGAAAAAUAAAUAAAUUUUAAUUAGUGAUAAUUAUUAUUGUACGCGGGUUAAUUUUGUAAUGAUAGCAACUCCUGGUUUUAACUUGACAGUGCAAUAGAAACUGGUGGCACUGUGACGCCGAGUUUUUAUCAACCCGCGCAUCCACGCGAAUCUUGUUAGCCAAACCAGAUUGACAAUGAAGUGAAGCCCCGGUACGACAGAGUUGUGUGUGAUGUGAUGGAGUCAAGCGGUGCGCACGUGUCCGCUAACGAGAUUAAAAUCGCGAUACUCGCAACCGCUGGUUUGAUAAUGGUGGGGUAAUAGACACUUGCUACAUUGCACUUCUCUAUUUUCAUCAGAGAAAGUAUCGAUAUUUAGAUAAUAAUUGAUCGAUAUUUUUAACACCGAGAAUCACAACAAUUUACGACUCGACCAAUAAUUAGCACAUUAAAAUAAAGAAGAUCUUUCACCAGAUGCAGUCAUAAUAUUAG